UACAGAGGUCCCGAGCGUUGUUCGGAUUUACUGGGCGUAAAGGGUGCGUAGGCGGUUCUGUAAGUCUGAUGUGAAAUCUCCAGGCCCAACCUGGAAACUGCAUUAGAAACUACAGGGCUAGAGGCUUGGAGGGGGAACUGGAAUUCUCGGUGUAGCGGUGAAAUGCGUAGAGAUCGAGAGGAACACCAGUGGCGAAGGCGAGUUCCUGGACAGGUCCUGACGCUGAGGCACGAAAGCCAGGGGAGCAAACAGG
This 253-nucleotide ribosomal RNA is filed under the name uncultured bacterium. RNAcentral describes it as "partial 16S ribosomal RNA". It matches the Rfam family "Bacterial small subunit ribosomal RNA", at positions 524 to 776 of the family's 1533-position model. The record is from RNAcentral.